UCGAGAGAGUGUGGGUGAGGAGGCGGGAAAUGGCGUCUGUGAGCACAUCGCAGUAUCAGCUACUAGACCGUUCAUAAAAACAGCAAAGAGGAACUAAAAAAACGAAAAAGCAGCUGCUGUCCGCACCGUGGCAGCCAGCAGUGCUUGAUCAGUCAACUCGUUUUCUAGAUAAGGUGGAGUACUGUAAAUCUUACAUGUGGCUCUUAAAACAAUGAGGCUGAGAAUGCGGAAGGCAUCUCAGCAGUCGAGUCCUGCCCAUGCGCCCCGCCCAUCCCGGACCAAGCGGAGGCAUUCAGAAGUGGAGGAGUGCACGCCGACAGGUGGCGGGAGAGGCCUGCUGUCCACCAUUAAGAAAUUAAUCAGAGGAAAUGCUGUCAAGGUAGAGCAGGAGAACCCAGCAAAGAAGACACGGCUCACCUGCGACGUAGACGACAACCUGAUCUCUUCCACACCACAAGGCGGCGAUGCCCCCAGGAGGACAAUCUCCAGGGUUAGCAGGAGAAACUCGGUCAACGGGGAAGCGACAAACCAUGACACGAGUAGUAAGCCUGUGAAGCCCAAUGGGAAGCUGGAGGAGGCGGCAGAGACCUUGACCAGUCCGCCUAGAACAAAACUCCUGGGAACCAUCUUCUCUCCAGUCUUCAACUUCUUCUCACCAGCAAAUAAAAAUGCCACGUCAGGUUCGGACUCCCCAGACCAGGCAUUGGAGGCUGAGGAGAUCGUCAAGCAGCUGGACAUGGAGACGGUGGAGGAGACCCCCACCUGCACUGCCACCUCCACCGAGGAAGUGUGUACGACUAUGCCCAUUUACUCCAGCAACAUGCUGCCCCCCAUGCGGCCCCCACACCCUCCAGAAGUGCCCAUCGAGGAAGAGGAGGUCGUCACAGACAUGCCUCCUCUCACAGCCCCAGACGCCCCUCCAGAAGGAGGCUAUGUGGAGGCACAGCCCACAGCCCGUGCAGAGGGGACAUACGAGGAGGACUGGGAGGUCUUUGACCCGUAUUUCUUCAUCAAGCAUGUACCUCCACUGACUGAGGAACAGCUGACCAGGAAGCCUGCCCUCCCACUAAAGACCCGCAGUACACCAGAGUUCUCCCUGGUUCUCGACCUGGAUGAGACAUUGGUGCACUGUAGCUUGAAUGAGCUGGACGAUGCAGCACUUACCUUCCCGGUCCUGUUUCAAGAUGUAAUUUACCAGGUGUAUGUGCGUUUAAGGCCGUUCUUCAGAGAGUUCCUGGAGCGCACGUCUCAAAUCUAUGAGAUCAUUCUCUUCACUGCCUCAAAGAAGGUUUAUGCAGACAAGUUGCUCAACAUCUUGGAUCCCAAGAAACAGUUGGUUAGACACAGGUUAUUUCGUGAGCAUUGUGUCUGCGUACAAGGGAACUACAUCAAGGACCUGAACAUCCUUGGAAGAGACCUGUCCAAGACCGUCAUCAUUGACAAUUCACCACAAGCCUUUGCAUAUCAGAGUAUACCUUCCUGUAUCCCUACAGCUUUCCAAUGGGAUUCCCAUUGAGAGCUGGUUCAUGGACAAAAAUGACAACGAACUCCUGAAGCUUGUCCCGUUCUUGGAGAAGCUUGUUGAGCUGAACGAGGAUGUGAGGCCACAUGUUCGAGAACGGUUUCGUCUGCACGAGCUUCUUCCCCCAGACUGAUCCCUGGAAUAGACGGACAGAAGAGAUAACGAAUGAUUGAAUAAACCAACACAGACAUGUAAAAAGCCCUCUUUGGAUUACAACAUUGCCAUUACUGUUUAAGGUUUCGCUUUUUCUCUUUUUACCCCACAUAGUUUUUUUUUCUUUCAUUGAUAAUGACAAUGCAAAGUAAAAAUUUUGAAGCAACAUCUGGUUAAAAAUAAUUUACAAAGCCACAUGUUUAGAUCACAUUACUGUGGGCAAGAUCAAGAAGGCUCCUCCUUUUGACUGGCUUUUUUUCAUGAGCAGUUUCUUUCUCCCUGCUUCCUAUCGGAGGGGCCAAGGUGCUGUCUGUCUGGACUGAAUGUGUUAGCUGACAGAGAAGAGGAUUAUACUUGCUCCCUUUGGUGCUUUCAUGGGACUGUUGACAGUGACACUCAUUGGCUACAGACCAAUUUGAACAGGAAUGGCCAGUAAAGUGUGUGUGUUUUGUGUGUGGGUACAUAGCUUAUCUUUUCUUUCCAGCUUGGGGUUUUUACAAACUUUUUACCAGUAGCCUAUAGGAUCUCAUUAUGCAUUCCUCUAGCUGAAUUUCUUUGUUUUGUAGACACUCGUUGUAACCGCAAUGUGUUAUUUUACCCCAUUUCACAAUGUUGCAUUUGCUUUUUUCUGCCUAUGUUUUAUGUAGGUGUUCUCCAAGGCUGUUGAUUGGAAAAUAACAUUGAUGUUAUGGUAGGAUAUCCCCAUGCUAUGUCAAAUCAAAUUGAACAAAUUCACAGCUUCCUGUAUAAUUUGUACUUCUGUUUAAACAAUAGUUGGCUUUGUUUGAAUUAAUAGGACACUUUGCCAAUAAUCAAUCAAUUAGUAUAACGUUCAAGAAAUUUGCAUCAAGGGACAGACAGUUCGUUUGACUAAAUGUUCCCCGCUUCUCAAGUGACGUGUUGACAUUUUUCUUUUAUAGUAACAUUUUUAUUUGUCAUUCAUAUAUUUCAAUGUAUUUUUACUCAACCAGGGUUUUAUUUUUAUGGAUAUGUCUAGUAUUGAAUUAUAACUCAUGUAGAUUUCACCCCUGUCUGUUACUGGGGGCAAUUUGAUGGAUUGAUGGAUGGAUGGAUGGAUGGAUAGAUGGCUGGGUCCUGAAACAGCCCAAAAUGUAGCACCACCAGCAUAUAAACAGCAAGCCUCGGCACUGUGGUAUAAACCCAACCUGCCUAGUAGGUUUUUUUUGUUUUAGGAAUUGGUUUUAUUAUAUGGCUUUAAAGCCUUUUUAAAUGCAGUAGAAAGAAGCAGCGUUUUUGGAGAACCUUCGUUAUGAAUGUCUGGAUGUUUCUGCCCAGACUUGGGAGAGUUGUAGAGAAAUAUACCAUGAUGCAUUGUCAGAUAUUGUACCUAGUCAUGUUAUUUCAUGUGGCCUAACCAGAUCAUAGACACUUUAUUGAUGAUAAACUGUAAGGAAAAAAUUACACCUAAAACGGUUACCGUUCCAUGUCCAUUUGGCCCUUUUGUUGAUAUUAUGGACUUGUACAUUAGCUGGUCAUGUAUAUGGUGCCAUAAAAACCUCCUUCCUAACAUGAUCAAACAUCGCCACCCAUGUCAGCUUUUUUUCUCUCUCUCUCUUGUUGGAAGUGUUUAAGUCGGAGACAAUCAACCCUCGAAUAUCAAAACACUCAAAUCGGAAAGGAAAUUCUGGUCCGUUUGCUCUAUUUUUGUUCUAAAUUGAAUUGUGCCAUGCGAACAAAGUUGUUAGGUGAAUCCAACUGUGCCCUAUCCCAGCUAAUCAUGCAUGUCAUUUUGCCAAACAUCUGAAGGACUGAGGGUAAAAACCCUGUAGAAUACCAGUCCUUUUAGCCUGCUCUCUCAUUGCCUUUCUGGAAAUCAUCACCCUAUAAAACUGAACUGACAGAUGAGUUACACUACAGGGCGGAUAUUUGUUUUUAGAUUUUUUUGCCGACCCUAAAUAUUUCCAGACUAUGAAUGUAAUUUUUUCCCACACUUGAUCCCAAAAUGGGGGGGAAUUAACAAAUCAAAAGUCCAUGAUCCAAAGGAUCUAUCAAUUUCUUAGAUUUUUGCUGCUUUGAACGCGCACAACGAGUAAUUUUUUUCCGCCAUUUGUAUAUAAAAAAAUAUAUAUAUAUAAAUAAUGAACACCCUAUUCUAUAGCAUUUUCAAAUAUGCAACCCUAUCCAUACCCACUUUAGCGGUUGGUUGAGAGUUGGCCCCAUAAGCCUGACAUGGCCCCUAGGAGGAUGAACCUGCUCCUUAAAGGGGGCCUGGCACUUUUCUAUCAAGGGAGAGCUUACUUUGUAAUUGUUUAAGGAUGGGCUAUUUGACAUGUACAUCCAGUUCAUUUUUAUGUGAAUUCUACCUGUUUUAUUGUACAAUGGAAAUUGUACAAUACAUGCAGCUUUGCGUUAAAGGAAAAUCUUUUUGUAUUUUUUAUUUCAAAAGGCAUGUCAUCUACUUUUUAAAUGUAUUCAUUAAGAUUUAACUUUACAUCAGAGGGAGUGUUUUUCUUACAAAUAUCUGUGUAUGUUUAGUUAGGGCAGUGUCACUGAACUGUUAGAAACCUAGCAUGUAUGUACAGAAUCUUGUUUUGUGGGGAAGUCCUGAAUUAAAUUUUAAUCUUGGCACUUUUUCUGCAGAAAAGAACAACUGUGGUAAUUAACUUUUUUCAAUUUCCGUUAAGGUGUAUUUAAAAUGUAUUUUUAAAUGCUUAAAAUGACAUCUUUGUUAACCAUGUUGUAAAAUGUACAUACCAAAUUGCAUUGAAGUAUUGAACAAAGUUUUAAAG
This is an RNA transcript of Salvelinus namaycush (lake trout), 4425 nucleotides long. It is a transcript of the gene named CTD small phosphatase-like protein 2-B, with no coding region annotated. The transcript is spliced from 13 exons. The record is from RefSeq and is a predicted model, not a curated record. NCBI's taxonomy places the organism in Eukaryota, Metazoa, Chordata, Actinopteri, Salmoniformes, Salmonidae.